GACGAACGCUGGCGGCGUGCCUAAUACAUGCAAGUCGAACGAACUCUGGUAUUGAUUGGUGCUUGCAUCAUGAUUUACAUUUGAGUGAGUGGCGAACUGGUGAGUAACACGUGGGAAACCUGCCCAGAAGCGGGGGAUAACACCUGGAAACAGAUGCUAAUACCGCAUAACAACUUGGACCGCAUGGUCCGAGCUUGAAAGAUGGCUUCGGCUAUCACUUUUGGAUGGUCCCGCGGCGUAUUAGCUAGAUGGUGGGGUAACGGCUCACCAUGGCAAUGAUACGUAGCCGACCUGAGAGGGUAAUCGGCCACAUUGGGACUGAGACACGGCCCAAACUCCUACGGGAGGCAGCAGUAGGGAAUCUUCCACAAUGGACGAAAGUCUGAUGGAGCAACGCCGCGUGAGUGAAGAAGGGUUUCGGCUCGUAAAACUCUGUUGUUAAAGAAGAACAUAUCUGAGAGUAACUGUUCAGGUAUUGACGGUAUUUAACCAGAAAGCCACGGCUAACUACGUGCCAGCAGCCGCGGUAAUACGUAGGUGGCAAGCGUUGUCCGGAUUUAUUGGGCGUAAAGCGAGCGCAGGUGGUUUUUUAAGUCUGAUGUGAAAGCCUUCGGCUCAACCGAAGAAGUGCAUCGGAAACUGGGAAACUUGAGUGCAGAAGAGGACAGUGGAACUCCAUGUGUAGCGGUGAAAUGCGUAGAUAUAUGGAAGAACACCAGUGGCGAAGGCGGCUGUCUGGUCUGUAACUGACGCUGAGGCUCGAAAGUAUGGGUAGCAAACAGGAUUAGAUACCCUGGUAGUCCAUACCGUAAACGAUGAAUGCUAAGUGUUGGAGGGUUUCCGCCCUUCAGUGCUGCAGCUAACGCAUUAAGCAUUCCGCCUGGGGAGUACGGCCGCAAGGCUGAAACUCAAAGGAAUUGACGGGGGCCCGCACAAGCGGUGGAGCAUGUGGUUUAAUUCGAAGCUACGCGAAGAACCUUACCAGGUCUUGACAUACUAUGCAAAUCUAAGAGAUUAGACGUUCCCUUCGGGGACAUGGAUACAGGUGGUGCAUGGUUGUCGUCAGCUCGUGUCGUGAGAUGUUGGGUUAAGUCCCGCAACGAGCGCAACCCUUAUUAUCAGUUGCCAGCAUUAAGUUGGGCACUCUGGUGAGACUGCCGGUGACAAACCGGAGGAAGGUGGGGAUGACGUCAAAUCAUCAUGCCCCUUAUGACCUGGGCUACACACGUGCUACAAUGGAUGGUACAACGAGUUGCGAACUCGCGAGAGUAAGCUAAUCUCUUAAAGCCAUUCUCAGUUCGGAUUGUAGGCUGCAACUCGCCUACAUGAAGUCGGAAUCGCUAGUAAUCGCGGAUCAGCAUGCCGCGGUGAAUACGUUCCCGGGCCUUGUACACACCGCCCGUCACACCAUGAGAGUUUGUAACACCCAAAGUCGGUGGGGUAACCUUUUAGGAACCAGCCGCCUAAGGUGGGACAGAUGAUUAGGGUGAAG
This 1492-nucleotide ribosomal RNA is filed under the name Lactiplantibacillus plantarum. Its description in RNAcentral is "partial 16S ribosomal RNA". It matches the Rfam family "Bacterial small subunit ribosomal RNA". The record is from RNAcentral. Lineage: Bacteria; Bacillati; Bacillota; Bacilli; Lactobacillales; Lactobacillaceae.